Molecule: long non-coding RNA, 398 nt
Filed under: Mytilus galloprovincialis (Mediterranean mussel)
Lineage: Eukaryota; Metazoa; Mollusca; Bivalvia; Mytilida; Mytilidae
Source: RNAcentral
AUUACAAUUGUAUUUGAAACUAUGUUAAAAUUUGUUAAAUAAUAAAAAAUAGUUUUCAAAUUAGUUGGAGAAACAGCUUGGAAAUUAGUUUUCAAAUUAGUUGGAGAAACAGCUUGAAAAAUCAUUACAAAUUAGUCCAAAAUUUCUUUUUCAAAUUUAUACUCGAAUGAAAUGUAUUUUAUAAUUUAUAUAAAAUAUAUACAGUAAUACAAUUCUUUAUAGUUACUUAAUGUCUAUAAUAUAUAUUCUAAUAAUUUGAAAUCUCAUAGUUCAAAAAUAUUAACAUUUUACAACUCAUUUUACCCCCCUCGAUCCCCUCUUUUGAAAAAGGUGGGGGGGGAGGUAAUACUGUUUUACCUCUGUCUGUCAAUCAAGCCAUCAGUUCAUCAGUCCGUCCA